UCUUUAAAGUUAAAUAAUUUGGCGGUAUUUUAGUCUUUUCAGAGGAACCUGUUCUAUAAAUGAUAAUCCACGAUAAUUGGGUCUUAAAUUAGAAAUUUAUAUAUCAUCGUUAUUAAAUAUUUUUUUAGAAUUUAAUAUUUAAUAAAUAUAAUUAUAUUUUAAUUCAGAUCAUGGUAUAGUUUAUAUUUAAGUUGAAAUGGGUUACAAUAUUUAAAAAUGUGGAUUUUAAAUUUAAAAUUUAAAUGAAAUUGGAUUUGAAAGUAAUUAUAUUAU
RNAcentral lists this ribosomal RNA (273 nucleotides) under Scymnus apetzi. RNAcentral's name for it is "partial 12S ribosomal RNA". Lineage: Eukaryota; Metazoa; Arthropoda; Insecta; Coleoptera; Coccinellidae. The record is from RNAcentral.